Molecule: long non-coding RNA, 572 nt
Filed under: Vigna radiata
Lineage: Eukaryota; Viridiplantae; Streptophyta; Magnoliopsida; Fabales; Fabaceae
Description: long non-coding RNA (VRAD_LNC004947)
Source: RNAcentral
UCCCUACAAGCUACACUACAGAUACAAUAAAAUGUAAAGAGAGGACUACAUGAGACAGGAUUCCAUCAUACCCUCCCUCUUAAAAAAAAAGAUUUGUCCUCAAAUCUGGCAAUCGCCUUAUGAAGAAGCUCCACNCAUUCUUUGGAGCAUGGCCAUCUUGGAAUGGCCUUAUUCUUUUAGAUCCACUUUUCUUCCUCCUGGAUCAAAGACGAAUNACUUUUCUUCCUCCUGGAUCAAAGACGAAUCUGCAAUAUGCAUCAAAUAUAUCUUCAAUUAAUACCAAUCCAAAGAGGAAACUUUCUACAAAAACAAGAGAAUAAGGACUCCUAUGAUUUUGAUUUGUAAUCUUUAAAAAUGUUAGAAGUCCAAAUUCAAUAUUGUCUUGAGUUACUUAUUUUCUUGAAGAUAACAAUAACUCAAGAUUUGAAUUGCCAUAGUUUGAAAAUGUUUGCAUAGAAUAUGGAAUGGCAAUUGGUUGGAAAGAGAAAUCAAAACUAGAAGAAUGAAUAAUGAUGGGAAAAGAUGGAAAACCUUCCCUUUUAAGAUUGGGUUCUAUGGUUGGAGUAAAAAUU